Molecule: ribosomal RNA, 300 nt
Filed under: human gut metagenome
Description: bacterial LSU rRNA
Rfam family: Bacterial large subunit ribosomal RNA
Source: RNAcentral
UCGGUCCCUAUCUGCCGUGGGCGCUGGAGAAUUGAGGGGGGCUGCUCCUAGUACGAGAGGACCGGAGUGGACGCAUCACUGGUGUUCGGGUUGUCAUGCCAAUGGCAUUGCCCGGUAGCUAAAUGCGGAAAAGAUAAGUGCUGAAAGCAUCUAAGCACGAAACUUGCCCCGAGAUGAGUUCUCCCUGACUCCUUGAGAGUCCUGAAGGAACGUUGAAGACGACGACGUUGAUAGGUCGGGUGUGUAAGCGUAGCGAUACGUUGAGCUAACCGAUACUAAUGAACCGUGAGGCUUAACCUU